UUCUGGAUCGGAUGGAGCUGCGCUUGU
This 27-nucleotide small RNA is filed under the name Bombyx mori (domestic silkworm). RNAcentral's name for it is "piRNA piR-bmo-2232865". Lineage: Eukaryota; Metazoa; Arthropoda; Insecta; Lepidoptera; Bombycidae. The record is from RNAcentral.